Molecule: ribosomal RNA, 292 nt
Filed under: uncultured bacterium
Lineage: Bacteria
Description: partial 16S ribosomal RNA
Rfam family: Bacterial small subunit ribosomal RNA
Source: RNAcentral
GUGUCAGCCGCCGCGGUAAGACGAACCUUGCUAACGUUAUUCGGAAUUACUGGGCUUAAAGGGUGCGUAGGCGGUGCAGCAAGUCGGGUGUGAAAGCCCUCAGCUCAACUGAGGAAUUGCGCCCGAAACUGCUGUGCUUGAGGAAUACAGAGGUAUGCGGAACUUAGGGUGGAGCGGUGAAAUGCGUUGAUAUCCUAAGGAACACCGGUGGCGAAAGCGGCAUACUGGGUAUUUUCUGACGCUCAUGCACGAAAGCUAGGGUAGCGAACGGGAUUAGAUACCCUGGUAGUCC